This 401-nucleotide ribosomal RNA is filed under the name uncultured archaeon. Its description in RNAcentral is "bacterial SSU rRNA". It matches the Rfam family "Archaeal small subunit ribosomal RNA", at positions 471 to 871 of the family's 1478-position model. The record is from RNAcentral.
UAAUACCGGCGGCUCGAGUGGUGGCCACUAUUACUGGGCUUAAAGCGUCCGUAGCUUGGUUGUUAAGUCUCCUGGGAAAUCCAUCGGCUCAACCGAUGGGCGUUCAGGAGAUACUGGCAACCUAGGGACCGGGAGAGGUGAGAGGUACUCCAGGGGUAGGAGUGAAAUCCUGUAAUCCUUGGGGGACCACCUGUGGCGAAGGCGUCUCACUAGAACGGCUCCGACAGUGAGGGACGAAAGCUGGGGGAGCAAACCGGAUUAGAUACCCGGGUAGUCCCAGCUGUAAACGAUGCGCGUUAGGUGUAUCGGUGACCACGAGUCACCGAGGUGCCGAAGGGAAACCGUGAAACGUGCCGCCUGGGAAGUACGGUCGCAAGGCUGAAACUUAAAUGAAUUGACGG